GGAAGUAAAAGUCGUAACAAGGUCUCCGUUGGUGAACCAGCGGAGGGAUCAUUACCGAGUUUACAACUCCCAAACCCCUGUGAACAUACCUAUUUGUUGCCUCGGCGGUGCCUGUUCCGACAGCCCGCCAGAGGACCCCAAACCCUGAUUACAUUUAAGAAGUCUUCUGAGUAAACCGAUUAAAUAAAUCAAAACUUUCAACAACGGAUCUCUUGGUUCUGGCAUCGAUGAAGAACGCAGCGAAAUGCGAUAAGUAAUGUGAAUUGCAGAAUUCAGUGAAUCAUCGAAUCUUUGAACGCACAUUGCGCCCGCUAGUAUUCUGGCGGGCAUGCCUGUCCGAGCGUCAUUUCAACCCUCAAGCCCCCGGGCUUGGUGUUGGGGAUCGGCGAGCCUCCGCGCCCGCCGUCCCCUAAAUCUAGUGGCGGUCUCGCUGUAGCUUCCUCUGCGUAGUAGCACACCUCGCACUGGGAAACAGCGCGGCCACGCCGUUAAACCCCCAACUUCUGAACGUUUGACCUCGGAUCAGGUAGGAAUACCCGCUGAACUUAAGCAUAUCAAUAAGCGGAGGA
Molecule: ribosomal RNA, 569 nt
Filed under: Dactylonectria torresensis
Lineage: Eukaryota; Fungi; Ascomycota; Sordariomycetes; Hypocreales; Nectriaceae
Description: eukaryotic LSU rRNA
Rfam family: 5.8S ribosomal RNA (bases 193-346)
Source: RNAcentral